AGCGAACGCUGGCGGCAGGCCUAACACAUGCAAGUCGAACGAACUCUUCGGAGUUAGUGGCGGACGGGUGAGUAACACGUGGGAACGUGCCUUUAGGUUCGGAAUAACUCAGGGGCACUUGUGCUAAUACCGAAUGUGCCCUUCGGAGGCAAGAUUUAUCGCGUUUAGAGCGGCCCGCGUCUGAUUAGCUAGUUGGUGAGGUAAAGGCUCACCAAGGCGACGCUCAGUAGCUGGUUUGAGAGGAUGAUCAGCCACAUUGGGACUGAGACGCGGCCCAAAAUCCUACAGGAGGCAGCAGUGGGGAAUCUUGCGCAAUGGGGGAAAGGCUGAAGCAGCCCUGCCGGGUGAAUGAUGAAGGUCUUAGGAUAGUACAAUUCUUUCACCGGGGACGAUAAUGACGGUACCCAAAGAAGAAGCCCCGGCUAACUUCGUG
Molecule: ribosomal RNA, 433 nt
Filed under: uncultured bacterium
Lineage: Bacteria
Description: partial 16S ribosomal RNA
Rfam family: Bacterial small subunit ribosomal RNA
Source: RNAcentral